RNAcentral lists this unclassified non-coding RNA (137 nucleotides) under uncultured fungus. RNAcentral describes it as "sequence contains ITS1, 5.8S rRNA gene". Lineage: Eukaryota; Fungi. The record is from RNAcentral.
AUUCGUGUAUUAAUUUAAUUGUUCAGACAAUGCCGUGUUCCAAUACGUGUUCAGUUAACUAACUUGCGAGUCUUCAAAAACUCGAAGCUUGUUUGAAAAAACCAAAAAUGAUCCCUCCGCAGGUUCACCUACGGAAA